UACGUAGGUGGCAAGCGUUGUCCGGAAUUAUUGGGCGUAAAGCGCGCGCAGGCGGUCUUCCAAGUCAGUGGUGAAAGCCCGGAGCUCAACUCCGGAACUGCCAUUGAAACUGUAAGACUUGAGGAUGAGAGAGGUGAGUGGAAUUCCCAGUGUAGAGGUGAAAUUCGUAGAUAUUGGGAAGAACACCGGUGGCGAAGGCGGCUCACUGGCUCAUAUCUGACGCUCAGGCGCGACAGCGUGGGGAUCAAACAGG
Molecule: ribosomal RNA, 253 nt
Filed under: uncultured bacterium
Lineage: Bacteria
Description: partial 16S ribosomal RNA
Rfam family: Bacterial small subunit ribosomal RNA
Source: RNAcentral